UGGCUCAGUUGGUACAGUAGAGCAUGGCGCUUGCAAUGUCAGGGUUGUGGGUUUGAUUCCCAC
Molecule: transfer RNA, 63 nt
Filed under: Salmo salar (Atlantic salmon)
Lineage: Eukaryota; Metazoa; Chordata; Actinopteri; Salmoniformes; Salmonidae
Also listed under: 1 other name
Source: Rfam by way of RNAcentral